UGGCGAACGGCUGAGGAACACGUACGAAUCUGCCCUCCGGUGGGGAAUAACGCACCGAAAGGUGUGCUAAUACCGCGUACGCGCGCAAGCGGAAAGCCGCAAGGCGCCGGGGGAGGAGCGUGCGGCCCAUCAGAUAGUUGGCGGGGUAAUGGCCCACCAAGUCGGUGACGGGUCGCUGGUCUGUGAGGACGAUCAGCCAGACUGGGACUGAGACACGGCCCAG
This 223-nucleotide ribosomal RNA is filed under the name uncultured bacterium. Its description in RNAcentral is "partial 16S ribosomal RNA". It matches the Rfam family "Bacterial small subunit ribosomal RNA", at positions 96 to 334 of the family's 1533-position model. The record is from RNAcentral.